Mayamaea pseudoterrestris is the source of this 72-nucleotide non-coding RNA. NCBI's taxonomy places the organism in Eukaryota, Bacillariophyta, Bacillariophyceae, Sellaphorales, Sellaphoraceae. The record is from the annotation of a GenBank genome assembly.
GUCCGCUUGGUCUAGAGGCAUGAUACCUGCUUUGGGUGCAGGUGGUCCGGGGUUCGAUUCCCCGAGCGGACC